Molecule: ribosomal RNA, 658 nt
Filed under: Corynebacterium sp. KSUM_70
Lineage: Bacteria; Bacillati; Actinomycetota; Actinomycetes; Mycobacteriales; Corynebacteriaceae
Description: bacterial SSU rRNA
Rfam family: Bacterial small subunit ribosomal RNA
Source: RNAcentral
GACGAACGCUGGCGGCGUGCUUAACACAUGCAAGUCGAACGGAAAGGCCUCUGCUUGCAGGGGUGCUCGAGUGGCGAACGGGUGAGUAACACGUGGGUGAUCUGCCUUGUACUCUGGGAUAAGCUUGGGAAACUGGGUCUAAUACCGGAUAGGAACUGCCUUUAGUGUGGUGGUUGGAAAGUUUUUUCGGUGCAAGAUGAGCUCGCGGCCUAUCAGCUUGUUGGUGGGGUAAUGGCCUACCAAGGCGUCGACGGGUAGCCGGCCUGAGAGGGUGUACGGCCACAUUGGGACUGAGAUACGGCCCAGACUCCUACGGGAGGCAGCAGUGGGGAAUAUUGCACAAUGGGCGGAAGCCUGAUGCAGCGACGCCGCGUGGGGGAUGACGGCCUUCGGGUUGUAAACUCCUUUCGACAGGGACGAAGCUUUUUGUGACGGUACCUGUAUAAGAAGCACCGGCUAACUACGUGCCAGCAGCCGCGGUAAUACGUAGGGUGCGAGCGUUGUCCGGAAUUACUGGGCGUAAAGAGCUCGUAGGUGGUUUGUCGCGUCGUCUGUGAAAUUCCGGGGCUUAACUCCGGGCGUGCAGGCGAUACGGGCAUAACUUGAGUGCUGUAGGGGAGACUGGAAUUCCUGGUGUAGCGGUGAAAUGCGCAGAUAU